This 459-nucleotide ribosomal RNA is filed under the name uncultured bacterium. RNAcentral's name for it is "partial 16S ribosomal RNA". It matches the Rfam family "Bacterial small subunit ribosomal RNA", at positions 338 to 795 of the family's 1533-position model. The record is from RNAcentral.
CCUACGGGAGGCAGCAGUGAGGAAUAUUGGUCAAUGGGAGAGAUCCUGAACCAGCCAAGCCGCGUGAGGGAAGACGGCCCUAUGGGUUGUCAACCUCUUUUGUCGGAGAACAAAACCCGGGACGUGUCCCGGCCUGCGUGUAUCCGAAGAAAAAGCAUCGGCUAACUCCGUGCCAGCAGCCGCGGUAAUACGGAGGAUGCGAGCGGUAUCCGGAUUUAUUGGGUUUAAAGGGUGCGUAGGCGGUCCGUUAAGUCAGCGGUAAAAUUGCGGGGCUCAACCCCGUCGAGCCGUGGAAACUGGCAGACUUGAGUGGGCGAGAAGUACGCGGAAUGCGCGGUGUAGCGGUGAAAUGCAUAGAUAUCGCGCAGAACUCCGAUUGCGAAGGCAGCGUACCGGCGCCAGACUGACGCUGAGGCACGAAAGCGUGGGGAUCGAACAGGAUUAGAUACCCUUGUAGUC